This 104-nucleotide transfer RNA is filed under the name Pleurotus ostreatus PC15. It matches the Rfam family "tRNA". From Rfam's summary of the family: Transfer RNA (tRNA) molecules are approximately 80 nucleotides in length. Lineage: Eukaryota; Fungi; Basidiomycota; Agaricomycetes; Agaricales; Pleurotaceae. The record is from Rfam by way of RNAcentral.
UCCUCGUUGGCUCAGUUGGUAGAGCGCCUCACUAGUAUGCUUAGUUCGUCGAGCUAAAUACAUACAUAAUGAGGAGGUCAGUCGUUCAAAUCGGCUACGAGGAA